GACCUGCACGAAUGGCGUAACGACUUCCCAGCUGUCUCAACCGCGAACUCGGCGAAAUUGCAUUACGAGUAAAGAUGCUCGUUACGCGCAGCAGGACGGAAAGACCCCGUGACCUUUACUACAGCUUGGUAUUGGUGUUCGGUGUGGCUUGUGUAGGAUAGGUGGGAGACUGUGAAGCUUGGACGCUAGUUCAGGUGGAGUCAUCGUUGAAAUACCACUCUGGUCAUAUUGGAUACCUAACUUCGAACCAUGAUCCGGUUCAGGGACAGUGCCUGGUGGGUAGUUUAACUGGGGCGGUUGCCUCCUAAAAAGUAACGGAGGCGCCCAAAGGUUCCCUCAACCUGGUUGGUAAUCAGGUGUCGAGUGUAAGUGCACAAGGGAGCUUGACUGUGAGACUGACAAGUCGAGCAGGGACGAAAGUCGGGACUAGUGAUCCGGCAGUGGCUUGUGGAAGCGCUGUCGCUCAACGGAUAAAAGGUACCUCGGGGAUAACAGGCUA
RNAcentral lists this non-coding RNA (499 nucleotides) under Cryobacterium sp. MLB-32. RNAcentral describes it as "bacterial LSU rRNA". It matches the Rfam family "Bacterial large subunit ribosomal RNA", at positions 1985 to 2484 of the family's 2925-position model. The record is from RNAcentral. Lineage: Bacteria; Bacillati; Actinomycetota; Actinomycetes; Micrococcales; Microbacteriaceae.